GGUUCAGGACGAACGCUCGGCGGCGUGCUUAACACAUGCAAGUCGAGCGAUGAAGCUUCUCGGAAGUGGAUAGCGGCGGACGGGUGAGUAACACGUGGGUAACCUGCCUCAUAGAGGGGAAUAGCCUUCCGAAAGGAAGAUUAAUACCGCAUAAGAUUGUAAUAUCGCAUGAUAUAGCAAUUAAAGGAGUAAUCCGCUAUGAGAUGGACCCGCGUCGCAUUAGCUAGUUGGUGAGGUAACGGCUCACCAAGGCGACGAUGCGUAGCCGACCUGAGAGGGUGAUCGGCCACAUUGGGACUGAGACACGGCCCAGACUCCUACGGGAGGCAGCAGUGGGGAAUAUUGCACAAUGGGGGAAACCCUGAUGCAGCAAACCGCCGCGUGAGUGAUGACGGUCUUCGGAUUGUAAAGCUCUGUCUUCAGGGACGAUAAUGACGGUACCUGAGGAGGAAGCCACGGCUAACUACGUGCCAGCAGCAGC
Molecule: ribosomal RNA, 481 nt
Filed under: uncultured bacterium
Lineage: Bacteria
Description: bacterial SSU rRNA
Rfam family: Bacterial small subunit ribosomal RNA
Source: RNAcentral